CCUACGUGAGGCAGCAGUGAGGAAUAUUGGUCAAUGGGCGGGAGCCUGAACCAGCGAAGUCGCGUGAGGGAAGACGGUCCUAUGGAUUGUAAACCUCUUUAGGCGGGGAGCAAAGCCGGGCACGCGUGCACGGAGGGAGAGUACCCGCAGAAUAAGCAUCGGCGAACUCCGUGCCAGCAGCCGCGGUAAUACGGGGGAUGCGAGCGGUAUCCGGAUUGAUUGGGUUUAAAGGGUGGGUAGGCGGAGUUUGAAGUCAGCGGUAAAAUGUCCGGGCUCAAUCCGGGACUGCCGUUGAAACUGGGGAUCUUGAGUGGGCGAGAGGUAUGCGGAAUUCGUGGUGUAGCGGUGAAAUGCAUAGAUAUCACGCAGAACUCCGAUUGCGAAGGCAGCAUACCGGCG
Molecule: ribosomal RNA, 399 nt
Filed under: uncultured bacterium
Lineage: Bacteria
Description: partial 16S ribosomal RNA
Rfam family: Bacterial small subunit ribosomal RNA
Source: RNAcentral